This is a long non-coding RNA of Onychostoma macrolepis, 427 nucleotides long. RefSeq lists it as uncharacterized. The transcript has 3 exons. Lineage: Eukaryota; Metazoa; Chordata; Actinopteri; Cypriniformes; Cyprinidae. The record is from RefSeq and is a predicted model, not a curated record.
GAGGAAGACACGGAUCCAGCGAGGCAGCUCUGCGGGUUUUACCCGGGGAUGAACCCGUGAGAGUGGGAGAGUUCCGGAGAAUAUCUGCGCUGUGUGUCGAUGCACCUUACGAGAGAAUAAGACCAGCAAGCAAGGCAACUGCAAUGAAGCAUCAAGAAAGACGUGGAGAAGCGCCAGCCACCCAUAAUUCAUAAGAAGACAUUUCUGUCACUAACAAAGUGGAUGGUGAGCAAAGGUGAUGGCCACGUUUUAGAGCAGCACCUGGGUUUUGCAGAUGUUUGUCUUCGGCUGUUUGUCUUUUUUCCCCAUUAUGUUUCUGUUGCCUAAAGAUUCUUUGUGAGGAUAAAUCCGGAGGACACAACGUAAUGCACUGCAAAACGUCCUAAGACAGGAGAAAUGGUGAAGAUGCACUGUUCCAGCAUUGGAA